Molecule: ribosomal RNA, 253 nt
Filed under: uncultured bacterium
Lineage: Bacteria
Description: partial 16S ribosomal RNA
Rfam family: Bacterial small subunit ribosomal RNA
Source: RNAcentral
UACGUAGGGGGCUAGCGUUGUCCGGAAUCAUUGGGCGUAAAGCGCGUGUAGGCGGCCUUGUAAGUCCGUUCUGAAAGCCCGGGGCUCAACCCCGGGAGGCGGAUGGAUACUGCAAGGCUCGAGUCCGGAAGAGGCGAGUGGAAUUCCCGGUGUAGCGGUGAAAUGCGCAGAUAUCGGGAGGAAUACCAGCGGCGAAGGCGGCGCUCUGGGCCGGUACUGACGCUGAGGAGCGAAAGCGUGGGGAUCAAACAGG